This 457-nucleotide ribosomal RNA is filed under the name Streptococcus sp. oral taxon 064. RNAcentral describes it as "bacterial SSU rRNA". It matches the Rfam family "Bacterial small subunit ribosomal RNA", at positions 28 to 471 of the family's 1533-position model. Lineage: Bacteria; Bacillati; Bacillota; Bacilli; Lactobacillales; Streptococcaceae. The record is from RNAcentral.
GACGAACGCUGGCGGCGUGCCUAAUACAUGCAAGUAGAACGCUGAAGGGAGAGCUUGCUCUUCUGGAUGAGUUGCGAACGGGUGAGUAACGCGUAGGUAACCUGCCUGGUAGCGGGGGAUAACUAUUGGAAACGAUAGCUAAUACCGCAUAAUAGUAGAUGUUGCAUGACAUUUGCUUGAAAGGUGCAAUUGCAUCACUACCAGAUGGACCUGCGUUGUAUUAGCUAGUUGGUGGGGUAACGGCUCACCAAGGCGACGAUACAUAGCCGACCUGAGAGGGUGAUCGGCCACACUGGGACUGAGACACGGCCCAGACUCCUACGGGAGGCAGCAGUAGGGAAUCUUCGGCAAUGGACGGAAGUCUGACCGAGCAACGCCGCGUGAGUGAAGAAGGUUUUCGGAUCGUAAAGCUCUGUUGUAAGAGAAGAACGAGUGUGAGAGUGGGAAGUUCACACUG